This 468-nucleotide ribosomal RNA is filed under the name uncultured bacterium. RNAcentral's name for it is "partial 16S ribosomal RNA". It matches the Rfam family "Bacterial small subunit ribosomal RNA", at positions 28 to 507 of the family's 1533-position model. The record is from RNAcentral.
GACGAACGCUGGCGGCGUGCUUAACACAUGCAAGUCGAACGGAAAGGCCCUGCUUUUGUGGGGUGCUCGAGUGGCGAACGGGUGAGUAACACGUGAGUAACCUGCCCUUGACUUUAGGAUAACUUCAGGAAACUGGGGCUAAUACCGGAUAGGAGCUCCUGCUGCAUGGUGGGGGUUGGAAAGUUUCGGCGGUUGGGGAUGGACUCGCGGCUUAUCAGCUUGUUGGUGGGGUAGUGGCUUACCAAGGCUUUGACGGGUAGCCGGCCUGAGAGGGUGACCGGCCACAUUGGGACUGAGAUACGGCACAGACUCCUACGGGAGGCAGCAGUGGGGAAUAUUGCACAAUGGGCGGAAGCCUGAUGCAGCAACGCUGCGUGCGGGAUGACGGCCUUCGGGUUGUAAACCGCUUUCGCCUGUGACGAAGCGUGAGUGACGGUAAUGGGUAAAGAAGCACCGGCUAACUACGUG